Molecule: ribosomal RNA, 562 nt
Filed under: Anthracocystis elionuri
Lineage: Eukaryota; Fungi; Basidiomycota; Ustilaginomycetes; Ustilaginales; Ustilaginaceae
Description: LSU rRNA
Rfam family: Eukaryotic large subunit ribosomal RNA
Source: RNAcentral
GAAAGCUGGCGUCUUCGGCGUCCGCAUUGUAAUCUCAAGAAGUGUUUUCCGCUUCGGACCAUGCCUAAGUCCCUUGGAAAAGGGCAUCAUAGAGGGUGAUAAUCCCGUACAUGGCAUGGAGCGCCCGAGGCUUUGUGAUACGCUUUCUAAGAGUCGAGUUGUUUGGGAAUGCAGCUCAAAAUGGGUGGUAAAUGCCAUCUAAGGCUAAAUAUUGGGGAGAGACCGAUAGCGAACAAGUACAGUGAUGGAAAGAUGAAAAGAACUUUGAAAAGAGAGUUAAACAGUACGUGAAAUUGCCAAAAGGGAAGGGUAGGAGGUCAGAGAUGCGUCUUGGGAUUCAGCCUUGCUUUUGCUUGGUGUUUUUCCCAAGUUGCAGGCCAACGUCGGUUUUGGGCACUGGAGAAGGGUGGAAGGAACGUGGCACCUCUCGGGGUGUGUUAUAGCCUUCUACUGGAUACAGCGACCGAGACCGAGGACAGCAGCGUACUCGCAAGAGCGGGCCUUCGGGCACCUUUACGCUUAGGGCGUUGGCAUAAUGGCCCUCUACCACCCGUCUUGAAAC